RNAcentral lists this ribosomal RNA (301 nucleotides) under uncultured bacterium. RNAcentral describes it as "partial 16S ribosomal RNA". It matches the Rfam family "Bacterial small subunit ribosomal RNA", at positions 509 to 807 of the family's 1533-position model. The record is from RNAcentral.
CAGUCGCCGCGGGAAUACAGAGGGUGCGAGCGUUAAUCGGAUUUACUGGGCGUAAAGCGUGCGUAGGCGGCUUCUUAAGUCGGUUGUGAAAUCCCUGAGCUUAACUUAGGAAUUGCAUUCGAUACUGGGAAGCUAGAGUAUGGGAGAGGAUGGUAGAAUUCCAGGUGUAGCGGUGAAAUGCGUAGAGAUCUGGAGGAAUACCGAUGGCGAAGGCAGCCAUCUGGCCUAAUACUGACGCUGAGGUACGAAAGCAUGGGGAGCAAACAGGAUUAGAUACCCCUGUAGUCCCUGUCUCUUAUAC